ACCCGCUGAAUUUAAGCAUAUUAUUAAGCGGAGGAAAAGAAACUAMCAAAGAUUGACAUAGUAAGGGCGACUGAACUGUCACUAGCUCAGCAUGUGAAUCAGCGUUCGCUGUCGUGAGCGCUGAAUUGUGGUCUUUUGGUGCUUGCAACACUACGUCCAGUCCAUGUUUUUUGGAAUAAAACAGCAAAGAGGGUGAAACUCCUGUGCGACUGGACUUGCGAAGCAAGCACUACUGAGUCGAGUUGUUUGGGAUUGCAGCUCAAAUACGGUGGUAAAUUUCAUCUCAAGCUAAAUACUGGUGGGAGACCGAUAGCGUACAAGUACCGUGAGGGAAAGAUGCAAAGAACUUUGAAAAGAGAGUGAAAGAGUACCUGAAAUUGCUGAAAAGGAAGCGAACGAACCUAGUGAAAGCUGUGUCAUACUUUCCAACUUGCUCGCAACUUGGACGCUGUGGCUUGCCAAGUUCCACUGUAUCGCAGCCAGCCAGAGGUGCAAGCUGGUGGAGAAAAGCCCUCAUUUUCUUCCACCGACCGCACCUCCUGCAAUGCAGUGGAACCAAAUAGAUUUGUUUGCCCCGUCUAGAAACACGGACCAAGGAGUCUAACAUAUGUGCGAGUACAAAGGCAGCAUGCCUUGGUGCGCAAUGAAAGUGUCAGAGGCUGGAAUGCAGUUACAAGCAUUGCACAGUCCGCCGGCCUCCAUCCCUCGGGAAAAUGGUCUGAGUGUGAGCAUACAUGUUGGGACCCGAAAGAUGGUGAACUAUGCUUGAGUAGGGUGAAGCCAGGGGAAACUUUGGUGAAGGCUCGCAGCGAUUCUGACGUGCAAAUCGAUCGUCAAACUUGAGUAUAGGGGCGAAAGACUAAUCGAACUAUCUAGUAGCUGGUUCCCUCCGAAAUUUCCCUUAGGAUAGCUGCAAUCCAAUGCCAGUUUUGUCAGGUAAAGCGAAUGAUUAG
Molecule: ribosomal RNA, 953 nt
Filed under: Pinnularia catenaborealis
Lineage: Eukaryota; Bacillariophyta; Bacillariophyceae; Sellaphorales; Pinnulariaceae
Description: eukaryotic LSU rRNA
Rfam family: Eukaryotic large subunit ribosomal RNA
Source: RNAcentral